RNAcentral lists this ribosomal RNA (426 nucleotides) under uncultured prokaryote. RNAcentral's name for it is "bacterial SSU rRNA". It matches the Rfam family "Bacterial small subunit ribosomal RNA", at positions 355 to 796 of the family's 1533-position model. The record is from RNAcentral.
UUAGGAAUAUUGCGCAAUGGGGGAAACCCUGACGGAGCAAUACCGCGUGAGGGAGGAAGGCUUUUGGGUUGUAAACCUCUUUUCUUAGGGAAGAAGAUCUGACGGUACCUAAGGAAUCAGCAUCGGCUAACUCCGUGCCAGCAGCCGCGGUAAUACGGAGGAUGCAAGCGUUAUCCGGAAUUAUUGGGCGUAAAGCGUCCGCAGGUGGCUCUUCAAGUCUGCUGUCAAAGACCAGAGCUCAACUCUGGGCAGGCGGUGGAAACUGGGGAGCUAGAGUACGGUAGGGGUAGAGGGAAUUUCCAGUGUAGCGGUGAAAUGCGUAGAGAUUGGAAAGAACACCAGUGGCGAAGGCGCUCUACUGGACCGUAACUGACACUCAGGGACGAAAGCUAGGGGAGCGAAAGGGAUUAGAUACCCCCGUAGUCC